UAACGGCGAGUGAAGCGGCAAAAGCUCAAAUUUGAAAUCUAGCACCUUCGGUGUUCGAGUUGUAAUUUGAAGAUGGUAACCUUGGGUUUGGCUCUUGUCUAUGUUCCUUGGAACAGGACGUCAUAGAGGGUGAGAAUCCCGUCUGAUGAGAUGCCCAUUCCUAUGUAAGGUGCUAUCGAAGAGUCGAGUUGUUUGGGAAUGCAGCUCUAAGUGGGUGGUAAAUUCCAUCUAAAGCUAAAUAUUGGCGAGAGACCGAUAGCGAACAAGUACAGUGAUGGAAAGAUGAAAAGAACUUUGAAAAGAGAGUGAAAAAGUACGUGAAAUUGUUGAAAGGGAAGGGCAUUAGAUCAGACUUGGUGUUUUACGAUUAUCUUCUCUUCUUGAGUUGUGCACUCGUAUUUCACUGGGCCAGCAUCGAUUCGGAUGGCAAGAUAAUGGCAGUUGAAUGUGGCUUCACUUCGGUGGAGUGUUAUAGCUUCUGCUGAUAUUGCCUGUCUGGAUCGAGGGCUGCGUCUUUUGACUAGGAUGCUGGCGUAAUGAUCUAAUGCCGCCCGUCUUG
RNAcentral lists this ribosomal RNA (559 nucleotides) under Hansenula anomala. RNAcentral's name for it is "Wickerhamomyces anomalus partial large subunit ribosomal RNA". It matches the Rfam family "Eukaryotic large subunit ribosomal RNA", at positions 84 to 656 of the family's 3401-position model. The record is from RNAcentral. Lineage: Eukaryota; Fungi; Ascomycota; Saccharomycetes; Phaffomycetales; Wickerhamomycetaceae.